This 467-nucleotide ribosomal RNA is filed under the name uncultured bacterium. RNAcentral's name for it is "partial 16S ribosomal RNA". It matches the Rfam family "Bacterial small subunit ribosomal RNA", at positions 28 to 506 of the family's 1533-position model. The record is from RNAcentral.
GACGAACGCUGGCGGCGUGCUUAACACAUGCAAGUCGAACGGAAAGGCCCUGCUUUUGUGGGGUGCUCGAGUGGCGAACGGGUGAGUAACACGUGAGUAACCUGCCCUUGACUUUGGGAUAACUUCAGGAAACUGGGGCUAAUACCGGAUAGGAGCUCCUGCUGCAUGGUGGGGGUUGGAAAGUUUCGGCGGUUGGGGAUGGACUCGCGGCUUAUCAGCUUGUUGGUGGGGUAGUGGCUUACCAAGGCUUUGACGGGUAGCCGGCCUGAGAGGGUGACCGGCCACAUUGGGACUGGGGUACGGCCCAGAGUCCUACGGGAGGCAGCGGUGGGGAAUAUUGCACAAUGGGCGGAAGCCGGAUGCAGGAACGCCGCGUGCGGGAUGACGGCUUUCGGGUGGUAAACCGCUUUCGCCUGUGACGAAGCGUGAGUGACGGUAAUGGGGAAAGAAGCACCGGCAAACUACGU